Long non-coding RNA from Hippocampus comes (tiger tail seahorse), 272 nucleotides. RefSeq lists it as uncharacterized. The record is from RefSeq and is a predicted model, not a curated record. NCBI's taxonomy places the organism in Eukaryota, Metazoa, Chordata, Actinopteri, Syngnathiformes, Syngnathidae. The transcript is spliced from 3 exons.
UUCUGUUACUUUUGCAAUGCCGUGCAGAAACUUCCCACGUGCGCACAAUGCGGGAAAACCAAGUGUAUGAAGACUUCAGACUGUGUCAUCAAACACCCUGGCAUCAACAGCACUGGGAUGGGAAUGGUGGGGGCAGUGUGCGACUUCUGUGAAGCUUGGGUGUGCCACAGCAGGAAAUGCCUGAGCACUCACGCCUGCGUGUGUCCUCUGACUGAAGCCGACUGCAUCGAGUGUGAACGCGGUGUGUGGGACCACGGUGAGGACGCCACCCC